CAGCUCUGAUACACAUUUCUGUGACAGGAAAAAACAGUCAGCAAACUGAUAACAAUGGGAAAAAUAACCCUAAGAAGUUUGAUUUUUUACAAUAAAGAAGGAAAGAAAGAAAAGGGAAGGAAGAAAGGAAGAAAGGAAGAAAGAAAUAAAAAGAAAAAACUGAGCAUUUGCAAAAAAAAAGGAGAAUUCAUGGCACAGCGACACAGGUGCUGCAACUCAUACUUCUGCCAAGGAUCCAGCGUCUGAUGGACCUGAAACACUCUCCAAGCAAUGGCAACCUACUUUGUGUGCCCAUCUGUAAUAACUGUGCUACAUGGCUCUUGCUAAAAAUGAUAAAUGAUAAUGACUUGCUGUCAAAACAAGUUUCAAGGUAACACCUGCUCAUGAGUAAUAUCAAAAUAAUUAAGUCUACAUAGAAGCAUAGCCAAAAUCUUUCCCUUGCUUAAAACUGACUUGUGAGUGUGGGGAAAGGAAGUGUCAAAUUGUCAAAUUCUACAGUAAAUAACGAUGCUGAAAAUGACACAGUCUAGGCAAUCUGGCCCAGAUAACAUCUUGAACCCCAUGACUGUCAGAAUAGAACAGAGGCAGAAGCUCCCCCAAAUGAUCUUUUUUUUUCUGACAGAAGGCAGCCAACAAAAAUGACAGACUGGGAUUAUGGAUAACGCUCUGGCUUCACAUCCAGCCUAAAACCAAAUGCAGUGAUAGGUAUCAAGCAAAGACAUUUGUGUCUGUUUUGUUCUCAGAGCCAGUGACAAUUAUUUAUCUGCCAAGCAUAUUUAGAUACACUAUGCUUCAGCACCUCUGACAAAGACAUGAAGUCUUCCUGUUCCCUGGGUAAACUUCUUCAAAAGAAGAAAGAAAAGCAAAAUAGAUGGACUGCCACUUCUCUGGUAGUCUGCACUGACAGCUAAAAUCAUGGCGGUUCUUCUUCCACACCCUUCAGUCCCCCAGGUUCCAGCUAAAGUGCUGUGCCACAGAGAGAGCUGCAUGAUGCCUUUUGUCUCCUUAUGUCUCCGGAGUGGUCAAGCCAUCAGCCUCCAACUAUUCCACUGU
This 1053-nucleotide long non-coding RNA is filed under the name Anas zonorhyncha (Eastern spot-billed duck). RNAcentral's name for it is "lncRNA (ENSAZOG00000003805.1)". The record is from RNAcentral. Lineage: Eukaryota; Metazoa; Chordata; Aves; Anseriformes; Anatidae.